AAUCAACGCUGGCGGCGUGCCUCAGACAUGCAAGUCGAACGCGAAAGUUUCCUUCGGGAAACCGGUAGAGUGGCGCACGGGUGAGUAACACGUAGGUUAUCUACCUCCGAGUGGGGAAUAACAUCGGGAAACCGAUGCUAAUACCGCAUAACACCGAAAGGUCAAAGCUUUAUGUGCUUGGAGAGGAGCCUGCGGCAGAUUAGCUAGUUGGUAAGGUAAUGGCUUACCAACGCGACGAUCUGUAUCCGGUCUAAGAGGACGGUCGGACACACUGACACUGAAUAACGGGUCAGACUCCUACGGGAGGCAGCAGUCGGGAAUUUUGGGCAAUGGGCGCAAGCCUGACCCAGCAACGCCGCGUGAAGGAUGAAGUAUUUCGGUAUGUAAACUU
Molecule: ribosomal RNA, 391 nt
Filed under: uncultured bacterium
Lineage: Bacteria
Description: bacterial SSU rRNA
Rfam family: Bacterial small subunit ribosomal RNA
Source: RNAcentral